Molecule: unclassified non-coding RNA, 339 nt
Filed under: soil metagenome
Description: partial contains 5.8S ribosomal RNA, internal transcribed spacer 2, and large subunit ribosomal RNA
Rfam family: 5.8S ribosomal RNA (bases 1-120)
Source: RNAcentral
GAUGAAGAACGCAGCGAAAUGCGAUAAUUAAUGUGAAUUGCAGAAUUCCGUGAAUCAUCGAGUUUUUGAACGCAUAUUGCGCCCCUUGGUAUUCCGAGGGGCAUGCCUGUCCGAGCGUCAUUGCAACCCUUCAAGCACGGCUUGUGUGUUGGACGGCCGCCCCAGUGUGGGCGGGUCCCAAAUGCAGUGGCGGCGCCGCGAUCCGGGUGCUCGAGUGCAUGGAAACCACGCGCUCGUUAGGCCCCGUCGGGCGCCGGCCGACCUAAUUAUCUUCGUUCUGGUUGACCUCGGAUCAGGCAGGAAUACCCGCUGAACUUAAGCAUAUCAAUAAGCGGAGGA